AAUGGUUUCAGUCUCUGGUCUUACAUAUAGGUGGUUCAAUAACUUGGCCUUGGAAGGAAGGUUUUUCUUAACCACAGGGAGUUCCUCCAAUUGGGUCAAUUUCAUGGAAGGUUUUUCUUUGUGUCUCUAUCUCCUUAAGUUCUGCUCUGACCUUAGUUAUUUCUUGCCUUCUGCUAGGUUUUGAGUUUUUUUGGUCUUGCUCGUCUAGCUCUUUCAAUUUUGACAAUAGGGUGUCGAUUUUAGAUCUCUCCUUGCUUCUCAUGGGGGCAUUUAUUGCUAUAUAUUUUCCUCUAGACACUGCUUUAAAUGUGUCCCAGAGAUUCUGGAAUGUUGUGUCUUCAUUCUCAUUGGUUUAAAAGAACAUCUUUAUUUCUGCCUUCAUUUCAUUGUUUAUCCAGUCAACAUUCAAGGCCAGUUGUUCAGUUUCCAUGAAGCUGUGCGGUUCUGAGUUAGUUUCUGAAAUCUGAGUUCUAACUUGAUUGCGCUGUAGUCUGAGAGACUGUUUGUUAUGAUUUCCAUUCUUUUGCAUUUGCUGAGGAGUGAUUUAAUUCCAAUUAUGUGGUCAAUUUAGAGUAGGUGUGAUGUGGAGCUGAGAAGAAUGUAUAUUCUGUGGAUUUGGGGUGGAGAGUUCUAUUAGGUCUGCUUGUUCCAGGUCUGAGUUCAAGUCCUGGAUAUCCUUGUUAAUUUUCUGUCUUGUUGAUCAGUCUAAUAUUGACAAUGGGGUGUUAAAGUCUCCCACUAUUAUUGUGUCAGAGUCUAAUCUCCCACUUUGUGUCAGAGUCUAAGUCUCUUUGUAAGUCAUUAAGAACUUGCUUUAUGUAUCUGGGUGCUCCUGUAUUGGGUGCAUAUAUAUUUAGGAUUGUUAGCUCUUCUUGUUGCAUUGAUCCUUUUACCGUUAUGUAAUGUCCUUCUUUGUCUCUUUUGAUCUUUGUUGGUUCAAAGUCUAUUUUAUCUGAGAUGAGAAUUGCAACUCCUGCUUUUUUUUGCUCUCCAUUUGCUAGGUAAGUCUUCCUCCAUCCCUUUAUUUUGAGCCUUUGUGUAUCCUUGCAUGUGAGAUGGGUUUCCUGGUUACAGCACAUUGAUGGUUUUAGCUUUUUAUUCAAUUUGCCAGUCUGUGUCUUUUGAUUGGUACAUUUAGCCCAUUUACAUUUAGGGUUAAUAUUACUAUGUGUGAAUUUGAUCCUGCC
This 1187-nucleotide long non-coding RNA is filed under the name Callithrix jacchus (white-tufted-ear marmoset). RNAcentral's name for it is "lncRNA (ENSCJAG00000081897.1)". Lineage: Eukaryota; Metazoa; Chordata; Mammalia; Primates; Cebidae. The record is from RNAcentral.